UGAGGAAUAUUGGGCAAUGGGCGAAAGCCUGACCCAGCAACGCCGCGUGGAGGAAGACGGCCUUCGGGUUGUAAACUCCUUUUACGGGGGAAGAGGAAGGACGGUACCCCGAGAAUAAGUCACGGCUAACUACGUGCCAGCAGCCGCGGUAAUACGUAGGUGACAAGCGUUAUCCGGAAUUACUGGGCGUAAAGCGCACGCAGGCGGCGCAUUAAGUCUGGCGUGAAAUCUCCCGGCUUAACUGGGAGGGGUCGUUGGAAACUGAUGUGCUUGAGGCGGUGAGAGGGGUGUAGAAUUCCCGGUGUAGUGGUGGAAUGCGUAGAUAUCGGGAGGAAUACCAGUGGCGAAAGCGGCACCCUGGCACUGGCCUGACGCUCAUGUGCGAAGGCGUGGGGAGCGAACGGG
RNAcentral lists this ribosomal RNA (405 nucleotides) under uncultured bacterium. RNAcentral's name for it is "bacterial SSU rRNA". It matches the Rfam family "Bacterial small subunit ribosomal RNA", at positions 355 to 776 of the family's 1533-position model. The record is from RNAcentral.